This 198-nucleotide ribosomal RNA is filed under the name uncultured bacterium. Its description in RNAcentral is "partial 16S ribosomal RNA". It matches the Rfam family "Bacterial small subunit ribosomal RNA", at positions 328 to 539 of the family's 1533-position model. The record is from RNAcentral.
ACGCUCGACACCUACGGGAGGCAGCAGUGGGGAAUAUUGCACAAUGGGGGAAACCCGUGAUGCAGCAACGCCGCGUGAAGGAAGACGGUUUCGGAUUGUAAACUUCUGUUCUUAGUGAAGAUAGUGACGGUAGCUAAGGAGCAAGCCACGGCUAACUACGUGCAAGCAGCCGCGGUAAUCUGAGCGGGCUGGCAAGGC